Molecule: ribosomal RNA, 1161 nt
Filed under: Acinetobacter baumannii
Lineage: Bacteria; Pseudomonadati; Pseudomonadota; Gammaproteobacteria; Moraxellales; Moraxellaceae
Description: partial 23S ribosomal RNA
Rfam family: Bacterial large subunit ribosomal RNA
Source: RNAcentral
ACGACAGCCGCAGAAACCAGGCCGCUGCAACUGUUUAUUAAAAACAUAGCACUCUGCAAACACGAAAGUGGACGUAUAGGGUGUGAUGCCUGCCCGGUGCUGGAAGGUUAAUUGAUGGGGUUAGCGUAAGCGAAGCUCUUGAUCGAAGCCCCAGUAAACGGCGGCCGUAACUAUAACGGUCCUAAGGUAGCGAAAUUCCUUGUCGGGUAAGUUCCGACCUGCACGAAUGGCAUAAUGAUGGCGGCGCUGUCUCCAGCAGAGGCUCAGUGAAAUCGAAAUCGCUGUGAAGAUGCAGUGUACCCGCGGCUAGACGGAAAGACCCCGUGAACCUUUACUGCAGCUUGACACUGAACUUUGACCUUACUUGUGUAGGAUAGGUGGGAGGCUUUGAAGCUGGAACGCUAGUUCCAGUGGAGCCGUCCUUGAAAUACCACCCUGGUAAUGUUGAGGUUCUAACUCUGUCCCGUGAUCCGGGACGAGGACCGUGUCUGGUGGGUAGUUUGACUGGGGCGGUCUCCUCCUAAAGAGUAACGGAGGAGUACGAAGGUGCGCUCAGCGUGGUCGGAAAUCACGCGUAGAGUAUAAAGGCAAAAGCGCGCUUAACUGCGAGACCCACAAGUCGAGCAGGUACGAAAGUAGGUCUUAGUGAUCCGGUGGUUCUGUAUGGAAGGGCCAUCGCUCAACGGAUAAAAGGUACUCUGGGGAUAACAGGCUGAUACCGCCCAAGAGUUCAUAUCGACGGCGGUGUUUGGCACCUCGAUGUCGGCUCAUCUCAUCCUGGGGCUGAAGCAGGUCCCAAGGGUAUGGCUGUUCGCCAUUUAAAGAGGUACGCGAGCUGGGUUUAGAACGUCGUGAGACAGUUCGGUCCCUAUCUACCGUGGGCGCUGGAAAUUUGAGAGGAUCUGCUCCUAGUACGAGAGGACCAGAGUGGACGAACCUCUGGUGUACCGGUUGUGACGCCAGUCGCAUCGCCGGGUAGCUAUGUUCGGAAGGGAUAACCGCUGAAAGCAUCUAAGCGGGAAGCCUACCUCAAGAUAAGAUUUCCCUAGGACUUUAUGUCCUCUAAAGAGCCGUUCGAGACUAGGACGUUGAUAGGUUGGAUGUGGAAGCAUAGUGAUAUGUGAAGCUGACCAAUACUAAUUGCUCGUGAGGCUUGACUAU